This 467-nucleotide ribosomal RNA is filed under the name uncultured bacterium. Its description in RNAcentral is "partial 16S ribosomal RNA". It matches the Rfam family "Bacterial small subunit ribosomal RNA", at positions 28 to 506 of the family's 1533-position model. The record is from RNAcentral.
GACGAACGCUGGCGGCGUGCUUAACACAUGCAAGUCGAACGGUGAAGCUCCAGCUUGCUGGAGUGGAUCAGUGGCGAACGGGUGAGUAACACGUGAGCAACCUGCCCCUGACUCUGGAAUAAGCGCUGGAAACGGCGUCUAAUACUGGAUACGAGAAGGGUCCGCAUGGGCACUUUCUGGAAAGUUUUUCGGUUGGGGAUGGGCUCGCGGCCUAUCAGCUUGUUGGUGAGGUAAUGGCUCACCAAGGCGACGACGGGUAGCCGGCCUGAGAGGGCGACCGGCCACACUGGGACUGGGACACGGCCCAGACUCCUACGGGAGGCAGCAGUGGGGAAUAUUGCACAAUGGGCGAAAGCCUGAUGCAGCGACGCCGCGUGAGGGAUGACGGCCUUCGGGUUGUAAACCUCUUUCAGCAGGGAAGAAGCGAAAGUGACGGUACCUGCAGAAGAAGCACCGGCUAACUACGU